UACGACUACAUAUCAGGCAUAUCAAUAAGCGGAGGAAAAGAAACUAACAAGGAUUCCCUUAGUAACGGCGAGUGAAGCGGGAAGAGCUCAAAUUUGAAAUCUUCAAGGUUUUACCUUGACGAAUUGUAGUUUAAAGAAGUGUUUUCUGUUGAAGUUUUGGUAAAAGUUCUUUGGAAUAGGACAUCAUAGAGGGUGAGAAUCCCGUAUUUGACCAUUAUUUCCAGCUUUGUGAUACACUUUCAAAGAGUCGGAUUGUUUGGGAAUGCAGUCCAAAAUGGGUGGUAAAUUUCAUCUAAAGCUAAAUAUUGGCGAGAGACCGAUAGCGAACAAGUACCGUGAGGGAAAGAUGAAAAGAACUUUGAAAAGAGAGUUAAACAGUACGUGAAAUUGUCAAAAGGGAAGCGUUUGACACCAGUGUUGUUUUCUCGAAAAUCAAUUAAAAAAGGCAGGAUUUUGUGUUGUAUUGACUUUAUCAGCUUUCUGCACUCUUUUCUUGUCUUUUUUAAUGCACUUUUCGUUUAACAAGUCAACAUCAAUUUCUUUUGUUGUAAAAGGGUCAUUGGAAGGUGGCUUUCUUUUCGGAAAAAGUGUUUAUAGCCUUUGGCCUCUGCAAUCGGAGAGACUGAGGUCUGCAGCGUAGAUCCUUCGGGGUUAGAUACAUUUGUGCUAAGCUACUAGCUUUUCAUAGACAACUUGUUGACUAUGAUUUAGUCAUUGUAGCUUACCUCGCUUAUGCUAUUUUACCUACGCUUAGGAUGUUGAGCGCAUGUCUCUCUCU
Molecule: ribosomal RNA, 778 nt
Filed under: uncultured Neocallimastigales
Lineage: Eukaryota; Fungi; Neocallimastigomycota; Neocallimastigomycetes; Neocallimastigales
Description: partial large subunit ribosomal RNA
Rfam family: Eukaryotic large subunit ribosomal RNA
Source: RNAcentral